UGACCAUUGCACGACGAUGACAGUGAAGAACGAUUAACACUCCAGCUUGAUCAUUACUCCUUUGGUUAACUCUGCAUUAGAAUAAGUCAUUCAAAUCCCCGGCUUAUUAUCAUGAAUGCGAAUAUGAAUGGUCCACUUCGAAAUUGCCGCGAGUAGACAGAUUAAAGCUGAUCAUCGUUAGAUGAGAUUGUAGUAGGGGAAAUAGAAGUGAUCUAACAAAGGGCGACACUAGGUACUUAACGCGGUGAGGAGAUACAAUACUAUAAAAGAAUACAGAUUUCGAUUAAGUUUGUUUUUCCUAUUUUGGAAUUUUGAAAAGAAGCAAUAAAUCUUUUCGGACGGUGGAGGUGGGUCAUCCCUUAUAAAUCAGAUGAACGAAUUUUCUACGGUAAUACCCAGAGAGAAAGUUACAACGAUUGGGUAUACUAUACGAUGUUUAUUUUAUUCGAUCAGAGACGAAUGUAAGAACAUUUCCAAAUGAUAUUAGAAGAUAUUUUUAUCUCUCAAUAAUUUCGAGAUUAACUCGAUUAUUUUUAUUAAUAAUAAUAAUAUAUCUUGUUCGCGUUAGUUUUCUCAUAAAAUUUUAUUGAAAACACAAUUAAUUUAUAAACAGGAAAUAUUUAUCGUCAUACCUUUUUGUUCGCACAUAAUACUUUACAUUUUGUAUCUAAUUGUAAAAUAAUUCUCAGUUUAUUUUUUGUUUAAAAUCUCAGAAACAAAAGAAACUGGAUCUCCGGACGGAUACGUUCGUCUUAUUAAUAAUGCAUUGGAAUUAAUUAGACAAGUGGUAAAAGUUUCUGUUAUUAACAAGAUUUUUCUAUGUAAAAUUUUCUUUUUUUUCACUAAUUCCACUUUUUUAUUCUUCCGAGUUGCUUUUCUUUUUAUAAAAAUUUUCUUUUUUUUAUGGAAACAGAUAAUCGCGUUGGGUCUUUUAAAAUACGCAUAAUGUAUUCAACGCGUGUUACGUAACGUCAUUCGAUAGGUCGAUUAUGCAAGUAGACGCAAACGCGACGAUACUCUAAUGGCCAGUACAAUUUAAUCAUUACUCGUUUACUCAUUCGUAGUAGUAGAUAAGAAGAGAUCGGUGUAUCUGCAAUUUUAUAAUUUCAUUUUUUCCUAUAUCAUUUUCUAUGCUCAAUCUUCUCUCUCCCCCUUCUCCACCCCUUUUCACAUUUUUACAAUCUGUUUACAAUUUUCUUUUUUUUUUCUUCUUUUUUUUUUAUUUUUCUUCUUAUCCAUCUAACUCUCUCUCUCUCUCUCUUUCCUGUUUUUCAUUAAUUAAUAAUUAUUUAACAAUGAUGACGAGAGAUAAUAACGCGAUAAUCACAUGGACAUUGUCUAGUUCAGGAAAAACUUAUAUCUAAUUUUUUAAGAUUUGUGUGUCUUUUUUUUAUUAUUAUAUUAUUUAUAAU
Molecule: long non-coding RNA, 1412 nt
Organism: Polistes canadensis
Lineage: Eukaryota; Metazoa; Arthropoda; Insecta; Hymenoptera; Vespidae
Exons: 4
Source: RefSeq, a predicted model, not a curated record